This 30-nucleotide small RNA is filed under the name Bombyx mori (domestic silkworm). Its description in RNAcentral is "ovarian small RNA-28620". The record is from RNAcentral. Lineage: Eukaryota; Metazoa; Arthropoda; Insecta; Lepidoptera; Bombycidae.
UCGCAUCACAUGCAGCCGCCAGGGCCGCCU